This 498-nucleotide ribosomal RNA is filed under the name uncultured bacterium. Its description in RNAcentral is "partial 16S ribosomal RNA". It matches the Rfam family "Bacterial small subunit ribosomal RNA", at positions 30 to 523 of the family's 1533-position model. The record is from RNAcentral.
AUUGAACGCUGGCGGCAUGCCUUACACAUGCAAGUCGAACGGUAACAGGUCUUCGGAUGCUGACGAGUGGCGAACGGGCGAGUAAUACAUCGGAACGUGCCUAGUAGUGGGGGAUAACUACUCGAAAGAGUGGCUAAUACCGCAUGCGAUCUACGGAGGAAAGCAGGGGAUCGCAAGACCUUGUGCUACUAGAGCGGCCGAGGGCAGAUUAGGUAGUUGGUGGGAUAAAAGCUUACCAAGCCGACGAUCUGUAGCUGGUCUGAGAGGACGAUCAGCCACACUGGGACUGAGACACGGCCCAGACUCCUACGGGAGGCAGCAGUGGGGAAUUUUGGACAAUGGGCGCAAGCCUGAUCCAGCAAUGCCGCGUGCAGGAUGAAGGCCUUCGGGUUGUAAACUGCUUUUGUACGGAACGAAAAGCCCCGGGUUAAUACCCUGGGGUCAUGACGGUACCGUAAGAAUAAGCACCGGCUAACUACGUGCCAGCAGCCGCCGCGG